AGGGCUGCUAACUCUGUUUUAAGGGGUUCAAUCCCUUUUUUUUUAUAUUUGAUAAUAAUAGUUAUUAAAUUUUUACUAUGUUGGUUUUAUGUUCGUAAGAUUUUAAGCACUUGUUUUUAGUAAGAGUUAAUUUCUGUACCUUUUGUAUAAGGGUCUAUCAAGAUUUAAAUAUAUAGAUUUAUUUUCCCGAAAGUAAGAAAUUUAUUAAAUUGAGUUAAUUUAAUGUUGCAUUAUUACAUUAAACUUUUUAAUAAUUGGCUAGAUACUAUAUUGCUCUUACAGGUAUCUGGUUGGUCUUAAAAUAUAUUUAGUAUAGAGUUUUUAGAAAAUAUUCACAAUACUCUGGAUAAGCAGAGUAUGUAAAUUUAUUGAGCCUAGUGGUAAAAAUUACUGGUUAAAUUGGCUUAAUAUUAGUAAUUAGUUAGUUUGUUAUAAAAAAUCUAGUGUUUAUUUCGUUAAUUAAUUAGGGGCUCAUUAAUUUUAUGGGCUUAAGUUUUUAAAAAUUACAAUGAUGAUAAGAAUUAGUAGAAAAUUAUUUUUAAAAUAUUGUUUGAUAAUAGUUUACAAUAAUUUUAAUGUUUGUUUAUUUAAUUUUUUUAUAAUUAAUUCGGCAAAUUUACUCUUCGAAUGUUUAACAAAAACAUUUCUUCUUGAAUUUAAACUAUAGGAGGUAGGCCCUGCCCAUUGCUCUGUGAAGUAAAUGGCUGCAUAAAUCUGAGUGUACUAAGGUAGCGCUAUAAUUUGCCUUUUAAAUGGGGGCUGGUAUGAACGGGUUCACGUGAGAGUUGCUGUGUCAUAAAAAUUUUUUGAAAUUAACCUUUAGGUGAAGAGGCCUAAGUAAAAUUAAAGGACGACAAGACCCUAGAAGCUUUACUAAGGGUAGGUUAAUAUGUUAAUUUAUUUAAGUUUUGUUGGGGCAACAUAGUUAGAAAGUAUAACUUGUUUUUAUAAACUGACAAGUUAAAACCACAUUGGUGAAUAAGAUAAGCUACUCUAGGGAUAACAGCGUUAUUUUUUUUAAUAGUACGUAUUGUAAAAAAAGUUUGCGACCUCGAUGUUGGACUAAGGUGUCCUUAAGGUGUAGAAGUCUUAAAGGGUUGGCCUGUUCGUCCAUUAAAACCUUACAUGAUCUGAGUUCAGACCGGCGUGAGCUAGGUCAGUUUCUAUCCUUAAUAUAAAAAUGUGAUUAAGUUAGUACGAAAGGAAUUUUUAAUCUAAAAAUUUUUAAGUUAUUUGUUUUUUAUUAUAUUAAAUU
This 1255-nucleotide ribosomal RNA is filed under the name Idas sp. RNAcentral describes it as "partial large subunit ribosomal RNA". The stretch from base 843 to 1174 matches the Rfam family "Bacterial large subunit ribosomal RNA", at positions 2072 to 2648 of the family's 2925-position model. The record is from RNAcentral. Lineage: Eukaryota; Metazoa; Mollusca; Bivalvia; Mytilida; Modiolidae.